Oreochromis aureus is the source of this 381-nucleotide long non-coding RNA. The record is from Ensembl. Lineage: Eukaryota; Metazoa; Chordata; Actinopteri; Cichliformes; Cichlidae.
CAGAAACCCAAGAAAGAGGAGGAAGGCGAGGAACCAUCAUGGAAGGACAGGCCCCUGCACGGUAUGUACCACCGGCAGAUAGAGGAGGUGGCUGAUAUCCAGAAAUCCUACCAGUGGCUGGACAAAGCUGGACUGAAAGACAGCACAGAGGCACUAAUCAUGGCAGCACAAGAACAAGCUCUGAGUACGAGAUCCAUAGAGGCUGGGGUCUAUCACACCAGGCAAGACCCCAGGUGCAGGCUGUGUAAAGAUGCCCCAGAGACAAUCCAGCACAUAACAGCAGGGUGCAAGAUGCUAGCAGUGGCCGGCAUAGUGUACAGGAACAUCUGUGCCGAGUAUAACCUGGAAGUCCCGAGGUCAAAAUGGGAGACGCCCCAAGGG